UGCGUAGGCGGAAUAAUAAGUCAGUGGUGAAAUCUUUCGGCUCAACCGAGAAACUGCCAUUGAUACUGUUAAUCUUGAGUUCGGUUGAGGUAGGCGGAAUGUGUAAUGUAGCGGUGAAAUGCUUAGAUAUUACACAGAACACCAAUUGCGUAGGCAGCUUACUAGACCGACACUGACGCUGAGGCACGAAAGCGUGGGGAGCGAACAGGAUUAGAUACCCUGGUAGUCC
Molecule: ribosomal RNA, 229 nt
Filed under: uncultured bacterium
Lineage: Bacteria
Description: partial 16S ribosomal RNA
Rfam family: Bacterial small subunit ribosomal RNA
Source: RNAcentral